GAAUAUGCAAGGUGCGUAUCUUUUCAUUGAUAGAAGAAGAGUACAAGCAUGGGAUUACAACGCUUACAAGGCCAUGUACGCGCUAGGCAUGGUGUACAAGCGUGGGAGCAGAACAGAACAGGGGGUAUGCUUAGCCCCAGAAAACUUAAAGUCUCCGCCUGGCUACUCUACAGAAACAGGCUCAACACCCGCGCCAACCUCGCACACAAGCACAUCAUCACUGCGAAUGUGUGCCCUCGGUGCCAUGAGCAAUGUGAAGACACAUCGCAUCUCUUUCAUUUCAUGCCCUCUAGCUGAUAGAGUUUGGCAACGCUUGGGUAUUUCACCUAUAUCCGAGGACGUCGAUGAGCUAUGGGGCACAACACUGCCACGUGACAUGCUGGCCAAUAUGUGGCCUUUGGUUCUACUAACCUCUCUGUGAAAGAUAUGAGCCGCACGAAAUGACAUGCUAUUCAGGUCCAUCGACCAAAGAUCUGCAAUAACCCUUGGGCUUAUUAUCUACAAGAGCGCAAAGAAGACACAAGACUGUACGGACGAAAUAGCAAAGCAGAGGAGGGGAAAAAAAGAAACUAAGAAGAAGAAGCAACCCAAAACUCUGAUCAAGUGAAAUAUUUGGCUAGCAGUGUAUGCCAGUUGCAUCAACCAUCUAGAGGAAACGUGAGCUAUGUGUUCUUCAGGCACUACCUUCAACUGUUGCCAAUGUUCUCCUGCUCGUGAAGACGCAUGCCCUGGAAAUAAAAGAUUGUCCGGCUGAAAAAGAUAGAGCAAGAUAUGAGUCCAUGAAAGAGACACGGCUGUGGAUCGUAGAAGAAGAUAGGAAAGGAAGUACAACAUCAUGUCACCUGCCCUACCCGGCCUUCUUCUCUGCAGCACAGCCGUUGAACUGCUUGAACACCAACUUUCUUGGCUAUCAGCUAAACUCUGAACUGAUUUCUCGCUGCAGCUGAUGCAUCCAUGCUUCCCAGAGCCCACUCAAGGCAGUUGCCACAGGUAAAUACUGGAAUGUGGCAGUCUAGCAGCGCAAGCCAGAGAGUGGUUUGUGUCUAGUGGAGCAGCAGCACCUGACGCUGUGAGUGCAACCACCCAC
Molecule: long non-coding RNA, 1087 nt
Filed under: Triticum aestivum (bread wheat)
Lineage: Eukaryota; Viridiplantae; Streptophyta; Magnoliopsida; Poales; Poaceae
Description: long non-coding RNA (TAES_LNC004334)
Source: RNAcentral